UAACAUUUUACAUAGUACUAACAUAACCUAACCGAGUUUUUCAGAAGAAGCUGUAAAGAUGACAUUUUCUACAGCAGUCGUAUGAUCGCUACUUUGCAAGAUUUUGCUACAAAAUAAUUUUUGAAGACCAUUAAAAUAUUGCCUACAUUUUGAAAAUAUAUACAUUUUUACAACAGACUUAACACUUUUAAGUUUUAUAUUCUUUAUAAUUUAGUUUUAUAUCCAAAAUAUGAUAACAAUAAUAAAAUUCUUUAUUAAAGAAAAGUUCAUAAUCAAAGCCCGGACGACGGGAGCAAAAAUGUAUUAUGAACAAAGCCCGGACGACGUUAAAUAUCGACUAUUCUAUCGACAUCCAUACGAACAAUUUUUGAAUCAGAAAUUCAUUGAUUCAAAAAUUGUUCGUAUGGAUGUCGAUAGAAGAGUUGAUAUUUAACGUCGUCCGGGCUUUUUUCAUAAUACAAAAAAAGACAAGACUUAAAUGAGUAGAUAAUAUAAUUAACCUCGUAAGACUCACCAUAUAAAGUUUUCGAAUUUUUAAUGUGAACCUUAUUCUAUAACAAAAUUAAAACGAAUUUUGUUUGAUUUAAAAAGCAAUGAAACAAAAGAAAGGCAAAUUUCUUUGGUUCAUGAAAGGUUCAAAUUAGAUUGCACGAAUGUUUACAUUGUAAUGUAUAUUUGUGACGUUCCACGGCAAAAUGUACCUUAUGGCGGCUGGCGCUUACGUCUCAUAGCGCCGCAAUAAUAUUGGAGCGGCGUUAAUAAUAGCGUAAGCGCCAACCGCCAUAAGGUACCUUUACCUGUGGGACGUCACAUUUAGUCUCAGGAGGAUAAGAUACCCAUAAAAAAUACCGACGAUAAAAAGUAAUAAAGAUAGAAUUUUUGGAAUAGUGCAUCAUCGUAGUGUAUUUUUUGGUAAUAUAUAAAAAUAUAUUAUGUCGUAGUCCCAUUCCCUAUCGCAACUAUGUUAGUUUCUUAGAUAUUGUUUGGAGUUUAACGCACAUUAGUUGGCCGGCGGCCCGUAGUCAGAUCAUAGUAUUUAUUAACGCUUAAACAUGUUUUAUAACGUUUAAAUGAUAUUCCAUAGUGUAGUGUUCAUUAUAUUAGGUCACUACGUAGGUGAUUUGCCCUGUAGUGGUUUUGAAUGUUUUCGAAGAUGGUUAUAGAAAGAAACGAUUGAUUGACAUUGUUGUUAGAUUUUACUAUAUCCUCUAGCCGCCCAUACGUCAAACCUUGCCAAGCAAAAUGAAAUUUUAUUUUCUCAACACAAAGUUCAAAUUAGAAUGGAACAGGAGACCUUUUUAUAGGUCUCUGGGCGGCUAGAGGCUAUGAGAUAAAAGCUUACAUUUCUUUAAACCCUUUAGCUCUUUAAAAUAUAAUUAUUCUUCAUAUAACUGUACAUCAAAGUACUUUCUAAGAAUAGUUUACAAAGUGUACUAUUAUUUAUAUUAAAAAUAUAGUUAUUGAAAGUUCUUUGAGCAGUGUCAGUCAAAACGUCUCGCGUACUUACAAAAUUUGAUAGAUAUUAUAUUAUAUUUCUUGUUCUAAUAAUGUUGUGUUCGGCGAAAUUUUUAUCUAUGUAAACUAUUUAUUGGAUAUUUUGUUACAUAUGUACCUAAUAAUUUAUAACACCAAUAUUUAUCUCUUCAAAUUUGUAACGUUUAAUAUAUUUUAUGCAAAAAUUGUAAACAGUGUGUAGAUUUUGUUGAAUAAAUGUCAUGUUUUGAA
Molecule: long non-coding RNA, 1725 nt
Organism: Cydia fagiglandana
Lineage: Eukaryota; Metazoa; Arthropoda; Insecta; Lepidoptera; Tortricidae
Exons: 2
Source: RefSeq, a predicted model, not a curated record